RNAcentral lists this ribosomal RNA (507 nucleotides) under uncultured bacterium. Its description in RNAcentral is "partial 16S ribosomal RNA". It matches the Rfam family "Bacterial small subunit ribosomal RNA", at positions 899 to 1397 of the family's 1533-position model. The record is from RNAcentral.
ACUCAAAUGAAUUGACGGGGGCUCACACAAGCGGUGGAGCAUGUGGCUUAAUUCGAAGCAACGCGAAGAACCUGACCUGGGUUUGACAUGCAUGGAUUAGUUCUGUGAAAGCAGAAUGACGCGGCUUGCCGUGGAACAUGCACAGGUGCUGCAUGGCUGUCGUCAGCUCGUGUCGUGAGAUGUCGGGUUAAGUCCCCUAACGAGCGAAACCCUUGUCGCUAGUUGCUAACGGGUAAUGCUGAGCACUUUAGCGAGACUGCCGGUGUUAAACCGGAGGAAGGUGGGGAUGACGUCAAGUCCUCAUGGCCUUUAUGCCCAGGGCUGCACACGUGCUACAAUGGGAUGGUACAAAGCGACGCGAAGCCGCGAGGCGGAGCAAAUCGCAGAAAACUUCCCUCAGUUCGGAUUGCAGGCUGCAACUCGCCUGCAUGAAGCUGGAAUCGCUAGUAAUCGCGCAUCAGCUAUGGCGCGGUGAAUAUGUUCCUGAGCCUUGUACACACCGCCCGU